Molecule: ribosomal RNA, 253 nt
Filed under: uncultured bacterium
Lineage: Bacteria
Description: partial 16S ribosomal RNA
Rfam family: Bacterial small subunit ribosomal RNA
Source: RNAcentral
UACGUAGGUGACCAGCGUUGUCCGGAUUUACUGGGCGUAAAGAGCGCGCAGGCGGUCUUUCAAGUCGAGUGUGAAAGCCCCCGGCUCAACUGGGGAGGGUCACUCGAUACUGAUCGACUUGAAGGCAGGAGAGGGAAGCGGAAUUCCCGGUGUAGUGGUGAAAUGCGUAGAUAUCGGGAGGAACACCAGUGGCGAAGGCGACUUCCUGGCCUGUUCUUGACGCUGAGGCGCGAAAGCUAGGGUAGCAAACGGG